CAGCAUUUCAUGAAGAGACUAGUAGCACACCUCUCAGAGGUUCCAAUUUCCUCGUUUAGUAACAGUUGGUGACAUAUCACGACUACAUCCCAAACGAUGGCUCAAUGACAAUCUAAUCAAUGCAUUGUCACGUUUGUGGGAAAUUGAUGCUCAGCUUGUGGGAAAGAAAGUUAAAGCAUUAAAUACCUACUUUUUUGAAAAGCUGGACAAAGAGGGCCCUCAAGCUUUAAGACCAUGAACAAGGAAAUAGCUGAUUAUAGACAUUAACAAGAAAGAAAUUCGUUACUAUGGUCCACAAAUGAUUAUGUGCUCAGACGUUUUUC
Corticium candelabrum is the source of this 323-nucleotide long non-coding RNA. RefSeq lists it as uncharacterized. NCBI's taxonomy places the organism in Eukaryota, Metazoa, Porifera, Homoscleromorpha, Homosclerophorida, Plakinidae. The record is from RefSeq and is a predicted model, not a curated record. The transcript has 4 exons.